GGCAGGACUUCGCAUGGCGCGUAUCCCAUGAACUCCCCCAGGGCAGGAAUGCAGCAAGGGUCAGUGGGCUCUAGCGGGUGUGCGAAGUCCCCUUAUA
This 97-nucleotide signal recognition particle RNA is filed under the name Corynebacterium diphtheriae. RNAcentral's name for it is "signal recognition particle sRNA small type". It matches the Rfam family "Bacterial small signal recognition particle RNA". From Rfam's summary of the family: The signal recognition particle (SRP) is a universally conserved ribonucleoprotein involved in the co-translational targeting of proteins to membranes. The record is from RNAcentral. Lineage: Bacteria; Bacillati; Actinomycetota; Actinomycetes; Mycobacteriales; Corynebacteriaceae.